GAUGAACGCUGGCGGCGUGCUUAACACAUGCAAGUCGAACGAUGAAGCCCAGCUUGCUGGGUGGAUUAGUGGCGAACGGGUGAGUAACACGUGAGUAACCUGCCCUUUACUCUGGGAUAAGCCUGGGAAACUGGGUCUAAUACUGGAUAUGACUUCUCAUCGCAUGGUGGGGGGUGGAAAGAUUUAUUGGUCUUGGAUGGACUCGCGGCCUAUCAGCUUGUUGGUGAGGUAAUGGCUCACCAAGGCGACGACGGGUAGCCGGCCUGAGAGGGUGACCGGCCACACUGGGCCUGCGACACGGCCCAGACUCCUACGGGAGGCAGCAGUGGGGAAUAUUGCCCAAUGGGCGCAAGCCUGAUGCAGCGACGCCGCGUGAGGGAUGACGGCCUUCGGGUUGUAAACCUCUUUCAGUAGGGACGAAGCGAGAGUGACGGUACCUGCAGAAGAAGCGCCGGCUAACUACGUG
Molecule: ribosomal RNA, 466 nt
Filed under: uncultured bacterium
Lineage: Bacteria
Description: partial 16S ribosomal RNA
Rfam family: Bacterial small subunit ribosomal RNA
Source: RNAcentral